This 568-nucleotide long non-coding RNA is filed under the name Ananas comosus (pineapple). RNAcentral's name for it is "long non-coding RNA (ACOM_LNC040981)". Lineage: Eukaryota; Viridiplantae; Streptophyta; Magnoliopsida; Poales; Bromeliaceae. The record is from RNAcentral.
CGGAAACGUGCCUUUUUUUUUUCCAACUUGGCCCACAUGACGUACAGAUCCGUCACAAAUACAAAAUUCCUCUGCCUACUCUGACAGAGUCUCCUUUGUAUUUCCACGACGUACUAACAGCUACAUCAGGAUCUCAACCACAAUCUAUAUUUACCAAUCACCAAUCAUCAUGCCACGCAUUUCCAUACAGCUAGCAAUCCUUAGAGAUGAUGCAUGCCUCUAAGCACUCCUUAGGCGCUGGAUGAUGCAAUGCACAAUACAACAGUCAUCCUAUUAAAAGUGCUCCCCACCCGGAAGCUUUGCUUUUAAAAUUCUAAUUCAAACAUUCACGAAAACCAAUUCGAAAAUCUUUUGAAAACUGUUUCUCACACAGAAACUCUAUUUUGAAAAUCGACUACCUCGAGGGGUAGAACACCACAAUGUAUAAAUCAACUAUCCAUAAAACCAAAACCAAGAAUCUGCAAAUCUCUAAUCUCAGAUCCACAAUUUCAUGCAUAGGAGGAAAACCAACUCAUUCAAACAUUCGAACAUCAGUAAUGAUCAUCUAACUGAACCAAUUAUUAUUAAA